This 514-nucleotide small RNA is filed under the name uncultured Glomus. RNAcentral's name for it is "SSU rRNA". It matches the Rfam family "Eukaryotic small subunit ribosomal RNA", at positions 569 to 1086 of the family's 1831-position model. The record is from RNAcentral. Lineage: Eukaryota; Fungi; Glomeromycota; Glomeromycetes; Glomerales; Glomeraceae.
AGCAGCCGCGGUAAUUCCAGCUCCAAUAGCGUAUAUUAAAGUUGUUGCAGUUAAAAAGCUCGUAGUUGAAUUUCGGAAUCAGUACGCUGGUCGUGCCUUCGGUAUGUACUGGUGUCACUGGUUUCUCCCUUCUGAAGAACCAUCAUGCCAUUCACUUGGUGUGGUGGGAAAUCAGGACUGUUACUUUGAAAAAUUAGAGUGUUUAAAGCAGGCUCGCGCUUGAAUACAUUAGCAUGGAAUAAUGAAAUAGGACGUUAAUCCUAUUUUGUUGGUUUCUAGGAUCGACGUAAUGAUUAAUAGGGAUAGUUGGGGGCAUUAGUAUUCAAUUGUCAGAGGUGAAAUUCUUGGAUUUAUUGAAGACUAACUACUGCGAAAGCAUUUGCCAAGGAUGUUUUCAUUAAUCAAGAACGAAAGUUAGGGGAUCGAAGACGAUCAGAUACCGUCGUAGUCUUAACCAUAAACUAUGCCGACUAGGGAUCGGAUGAUGUUAAUUUUUAAUGUACUCAUUCGGCGU